GGGGCUGUACUGGUUUCGACGUGGGUACGGGCUCGCAGCAGGGCAUGUCGAGGUGCUGUGACCUCGUAAAACGACAGCAAAAAAGUAACUGCGAACGACGAACGUUUCGCUCUCGCCGCCUGAUUCGGCGAGCCUUGCACCGGUCGGCCGAUAGGCCGGGCCGCGGGGGUUGAAAGACCUUCCGGCAGCAAGGGCAUCUGCAUCGGCUGGUCUCGCGGUGGGCAACCUGCCACGGGAUGAGAUUCCAGGUUGCUGGCCCAGGCAGUGGCGUGCCGCUGCGCAACCGCCUGGGUGAGACCUCAAACAGACGGCUACACAUGUAGAACUGCGCGAAGAAGGCCUGCGGACGGGGGUUCGACUCCCCCCAGCUCCACCA
This 376-nucleotide transfer-messenger RNA is filed under the name Tepidimonas charontis. Its description in RNAcentral is "Standard tmRNA". It matches the Rfam family "transfer-messenger RNA". From Rfam's summary of the family: Bacterial tmRNA, also known as 10Sa RNA or SsrA, is named for its dual tRNA and mRNA-like properties. Lineage: Bacteria; Pseudomonadati; Pseudomonadota; Betaproteobacteria; Burkholderiales. The record is from Rfam by way of RNAcentral.